UUCCGGUUGAUCCCGCCGGAGGCCAUUGCUAUUGGGAUCCGAUUUAGCCAUGCUAGUCGUACGAGUUCAGACUCGUGGCGAAUAGCUCAGUAACACGUGGCCAAACUACCCUUCGGACCGCAAUACCCUCGGGAAACUGAGGCUAAUAGCGGACACCACACGCAGACUGGAAUGUCGCGUGUGUCAAACGCUCCGGCGCCGAAGGAUGUGGCUGCGGCCGAUUAGGUAGACGGUGGGGUAACGGCCCACCGUGCCAAUAAUCGGUACGGGUCAUGAGAGUGAGAACCCGGAGACGGAAUCUGAGACAAGAUUCCGGGCCCUACGGGGCGCAGCAGGCGCGAAACCUUUACACUGCACGCCAGUGCGAUAAGGGGAUCCCAAGUGCGUAGGCAUAGAGCCUACGCUUUUGUCCACCCUAGGGUGGUGGACGAAUAAGGGCUGGGCAAGACCGGUGCCAGCCGCCGCGGUAAUACCGGCAGCCCGAGUGAUGGCCGAUCUUAUUGGGCCUAAAGCGUCCGUAGCUGGCCGCACAAGUCCAUCGGGAAAUCCACCUGCUCAACAGGUGGGCGUCCGGUGGAAACUGUGUGGCUUGGGACCGGAAGGCGCGACGGGUACGUCCGGGGUAGGAGUGAAAUCCCGUAAUCCUGGACGGACCGCCGAUGGCGAAAGCACGUCGCGAAAACGGAUCCGACAGUGAGGGACGAAAGCUAGGGUCUCGAACCGGAUUAGAUACCCGGGUAGUCCUAGCCGUAAACACUGCCUGCUAGGUGUGGCACCCACUACGAGUGGGCGCUGUGCCGUANGGAAGCCGCUAAGCANGCCGCCUGGGAAGUACGUCCGCAAGGAU
RNAcentral lists this ribosomal RNA (847 nucleotides) under uncultured archaeon. Its description in RNAcentral is "bacterial SSU rRNA". It matches the Rfam family "Archaeal small subunit ribosomal RNA", at positions 1 to 850 of the family's 1478-position model. The record is from RNAcentral.